GGAAUGUAGCUCAAUGGUAGAUCAUUUGCCUAGCAUAUGCAAGGCCCUGGGUUCAAUCCCCAGUACCA
Molecule: transfer RNA, 68 nt
Filed under: Marmota monax (woodchuck)
Lineage: Eukaryota; Metazoa; Chordata; Mammalia; Rodentia; Sciuridae
Description: tRNA.Ala
Source: RNAcentral